RNAcentral lists this transfer RNA (73 nucleotides) under Pseudomonas viridiflava. RNAcentral describes it as "tRNA-Met". It matches the Rfam family "tRNA". Rfam says of the family: Transfer RNA (tRNA) molecules are approximately 80 nucleotides in length. Lineage: Bacteria; Pseudomonadati; Pseudomonadota; Gammaproteobacteria; Pseudomonadales; Pseudomonadaceae. RNAcentral also lists the same sequence under 22 other names. The record is from RNAcentral.
CGCGGGAUGGAGCAGUCUGGUAGCUCGUCGGGCUCAUAACCCGAAGGUCGUCGGUUCAAAUCCGGCUCCCGCA